RNAcentral lists this ribosomal RNA (253 nucleotides) under uncultured bacterium. RNAcentral's name for it is "partial 16S ribosomal RNA". It matches the Rfam family "Bacterial small subunit ribosomal RNA", at positions 524 to 776 of the family's 1533-position model. The record is from RNAcentral.
UACAGAGGUCCCGAGCGUUGUUCGGAUUUAUUGGGCGUAAAGGGUGCGUAGGCGGCGGAGUAAGUUGGGUGUGAAAUCCCGAGGCUCAACCUCGGAAUUGCAUUCAAUACUGCUUCGCUCGAGUACUGGAGAGGAGGCUGGAAUUUACGGUGUAGCAGUGAAAUGCGUAGAUAUCGUAAGGAAGACCAGUGGCGAAGGCGGGUCUCUGGACAGUUCCUGACGCUGAGGCACGAAGGCCAGGGGAGCAAACGGG